Long non-coding RNA from Quercus lobata, 1176 nucleotides. RefSeq lists it as uncharacterized. The record is from RefSeq and is a predicted model, not a curated record. Lineage: Eukaryota; Viridiplantae; Streptophyta; Magnoliopsida; Fagales; Fagaceae. The transcript has 6 exons.
AUCAGUGUCCCUCUCAACUCUCAACUACUACCAGAUUUUCCCACAAUUUCAUACUGUCUCCGAAAUCAUCACCAGCAGAGACAACAAACAGAACCACCCUUUUGCAAAAAAAAAAAAAAAAAACAGAAACACUAUGAUUCAAGUAGCAAUGUUGAAUCUCCCCAGCCGAAAAAUCAAACCCCAGGUAGCCAUCUCUGCCAAUCAAACCCAUUUGCAAAGAACCCUCGCUUCUUGUAUCAAACCAGCCUUCAAGAUCUCUCACCGUCUCUUUUCUCUCUUUAUUCUCCUCAGCCCAAACAACACUUCUCUCUCUCUUUUUCUUUCUCGCUCAGAUCCUUAAGCUAUGUGGCCAAGAAAGAAAAUAAAUCCCAGGCAUUGAGUCAAAGAGAGUUCAUAGGUGCCGAUUUGCGCACAAACUGAUCAUAUGUUGGAAUUGGGGGACUAGGAAAAAUAAGGGUCUUGAGUUAUUAAACAUGUGGCAUGGUAAUACUAAGGGGAAUGUGAGAAAUCUUUUCUCGGAAGCAAUAAGUGACUGCAAGAAGUAUGGAGAUAGCAGUCCACUCCAUACAAUGUUCUCUGAUGAAUUAGAUUCAAUAGCAAGGAUUGAAACUUAUAGAUCCUGCUCUUCUCAGGUAAUAUUCUCUCCCUCCCCUUCUUUCUCUCUUUGAUGCACCAACACAUCUACUCAUCCUUAUAGUGUUCAAUUCAUAGACUGGGUCGAUUAGAGCUUCUUAUUGAGAUAGGCGCUCCUGAUGAAGCAGGACGUGUUCAGAUUUUAAAAGUUCACACUAAAAUGUUAUUAGAUAGCUCUUUACUUGAGUUGGACGUGAAUGCAUAGUUUAUGAAGUGAAGCACUUUACAGCCAACAAUAAUCAAUCAAGUUAUUGGAGUUAGUCACGUAUAGAGAUCCAUACAAAAGAGUUAGUCACAGAUUGGAUAUUUGUGCAAAGUGAAGAAGUCUAUUACAUAAUCAAGUCCAAUUGGGUAUAAGAGUGAAGGUUUAACUGUAGGUUGAUAUUUUGGGAUAGACUAUGAUAGUAGUAAGAUUCUUCAUAUUUGUAACCACUUGAUUAUUGAUUAGUGGAUUCUGGGGAGUGGUGGCUUAAAAUUCACUCGGUAGAAUUUUUGCCUUGCGAGAAGUUUUUCCCAUUUGUUAACAAAUUACCAUAUCAAUUU